This is a long non-coding RNA of Erinaceus europaeus (western European hedgehog), 994 nucleotides long. RefSeq lists it as uncharacterized. NCBI's taxonomy places the organism in Eukaryota, Metazoa, Chordata, Mammalia, Eulipotyphla, Erinaceidae. The record is from RefSeq and is a predicted model, not a curated record. The transcript has 3 exons.
GCAGGAUUAAACCAUGUCAGGCAAAUAAGGAAACGGUGAUGCUGCCAGGAGAGGGAAGAACGAUACUCUCAUUCUUAUCUUAGGCUGCCAGCUGUACCAUACCACUUUCUCCUCAUUCUGCUUGCUAAUGUUUGAAUCACCAGGUUUCAGAUGCUACCAUGAUGCCAACCUGACUUCCCUGGGCAGACAACCCCACCAGUAUGUCCUGGAUCCCCAACUCUCCAGAGCCCUGCUCCACUAGUAAAAGAGAGAGACAGGCUGGGAGUAUGGAUCCACCUGCCAAUGCCCAGGUUCAGCAGAGAAGCAACUACAGAAGCCAGACCUUCCACCUUCUGCAUCCCAUAAUGAUCCCGGGUUCAUUCUCCCAAAGGGCUAAAGAAUAGGAAAGCUUUCAAGGGAGGGGAUGAGAGUUCUGGUGGUGGGAAUUGCGUGGAAAUGUGCCCCUCUUACCCUAUGGUCUUAUCAAUAUCUUCAUUAUAUAAAUUUAAAAAAAAAUCUAAAAAAAGUGUUUCACCCUGCUCGGAAUCACACUAAGGAUUUUCAAAUACUAUGGUUUAUGUAUAAUCCAUAGGAUUUAGGGAAGGGAAGCUCAUUUUAAUUGAUCUGCAUUUGCUGAUGCUGUGGUGAGGGUUAUAACUGAGUAGACAUCUUGUAGUUUAAGAUAUGGCUUAAUGGGAUGGAUGAUGGUAAACCUGGGUGAGCACACACAUUACAGUGCACAAAGACCCAGGUUCAAGCCUCUCCUCCCCACUUGCAGGGGGGAAACUGCAUGAGUAGUUAGACAGUGCUGGGGUUGUCUCUCUGUCUCUCUCCCUUUCAAUCUCUCUCUGUCUUAUAAAGUAAAGUAAUAGAACUUAAAAUAUAUAUGGCUUAAAUGAAUAAAAUGUAAGCUAUAAAUGAAGUGGGUCUUAAAGUACAAGAAUAUGAUAUGAGAAGAAAAUAGUGAGAAACUUAAUAACAUGCUUAUCAAAUAUAGAUGGAAUUGUAGAACAAG